AAGUCGUAACAAGGUUUCCGUAGGUGAACCUGCGGAAGGAUCAUUAUCCUUAGCGUAAUAUUACUAUUAAUAUUACAAGCGCUAGUGCACUCAUGUGUCAAGCGUUAAAAUUCACAUUCAGCAUGGGCUUUACCGCCUAUGUUGGAUAAUGAAAAAUCCAUGUUUAGCUUUAAACAUGGUCGGGUACCUAUGCGUUUGCGUCUAUGCUUGUCAUACGAUGCUCAUGUCAUAAGCGGUAAUAGCUAUUACCGUGUGGCUUAAUGAUUAUUCAACUCUAUUUGAAUAACGCCCGUUCUAGCAAUGAAUAUUAUCUUAUACUAUUUAUUUAAAUCGCAUUUAUUUUUGUAUUGUGAACUAUCUAAUGCCUAAGCAAUUAAGCAUAUGAAUAAACACAAAUACAACCCUAUGCGGUGGAUCACUUGGCUC
RNAcentral lists this unclassified non-coding RNA (426 nucleotides) under fungal sp. RNAcentral's name for it is "partial internal transcribed spacer region". The stretch from base 1 to 46 matches the Rfam family "Eukaryotic small subunit ribosomal RNA", at positions 1786 to 1831 of the family's 1831-position model. The record is from RNAcentral. Lineage: Eukaryota; Fungi.